This 305-nucleotide ribosomal RNA is filed under the name uncultured bacterium. Its description in RNAcentral is "bacterial SSU rRNA". It matches the Rfam family "Bacterial small subunit ribosomal RNA", at positions 337 to 635 of the family's 1533-position model. The record is from RNAcentral.
ACCUACGGGGCGCAGCAGUAGCGAAUCUUCCACAAUGGGCGAAAGCCUGAUGGAGCAACGCCGCGUGGGUGAAGAAGGUCUUCGGAUCGUAAAACCCUGUUGUUAGAGAAGAAAGUGCGUGAGAGUAACUGUUCACGUUUCGACGGUAUCUAACCAGAAAGCCACGGCUAACUACGUGCCAGCAGCCGCGGUAAUACGUAGGUGGCAAGCGUUAUCCGGAUUUAUUGGGCGUAAGGGAACGCAGGCGGUCUUUUAAGUCUGAUGUGAAAGCCUUCGGCUUAACCGGAGUAGUGCAUUGGAAACUG